ACAACAAACAUCGCCAACAAGGAUAUUCUGCCUCAACAAACUCAUGCCCCAACAAACCUCUCUAGCCAGGCUACUCCAACAAGUACUAUCCAGGAUAUUGUGCUGCAACAAUCUUAUCGUGCUUCAACAAACCUUGCCAAUCAAGACCACAUGAUUCAAGGUAUUUUAAAGUUUAAAAAUCUGCAAGUUGUAGAUGAAGUGGAUAAAUAUAGGAAUAAAGCCAUAAAAGGUAAGGAUAUUGUGCGGGAGGAAAAUACAAAACCGAAGGAUAAGAAAAAGGAUGGUACAGUCCAUCCAAAGUCGUAGGAUGAAUACCUUACCACCUUUUCAUUUGUUUAUUACUGAUGAAGAUAACAUGCUGGAAUGUUCGCGGACUUAAUAAGCCGGAGAAAUGUCGGGAGCUCAACAGAAUAAUCAAG
RNAcentral lists this long non-coding RNA (419 nucleotides) under Musa acuminata (dwarf banana). RNAcentral describes it as "long non-coding RNA (MACU_LNC010096)". Lineage: Eukaryota; Viridiplantae; Streptophyta; Magnoliopsida; Zingiberales; Musaceae. The record is from RNAcentral.